Molecule: ribosomal RNA, 440 nt
Filed under: uncultured bacterium
Lineage: Bacteria
Description: partial 16S ribosomal RNA
Rfam family: Bacterial small subunit ribosomal RNA
Source: RNAcentral
CCUACGGGAGGCAGCAGUGGGGAAUAUUGCUCAAUGGGCGAAAGCCUGAACCAGCGACGUAGCGUGAGUGAUGAAGUACCUCGGUAUUUUAAGCUCCAUUAGUAGGGGAGUAAAGUACGGCACCUGAUUAAUUAGGUCUGUCUUACUUGGUUCAGGCAGCGGAGGUAAUACGGAGGGGGCCAGCGUUAUCCGGAUUUACCGGGUGUAAAGGGAGCGUAGAGGGUAGAAAAAGUGUGUAGUGAAAUUCCGGGGCUCAACCGCGGGAUUGCUGUUGGAACUGGCUGGCUGGAGUACAGGAGGGGUAGGCGGAAUUCGUGGUGUAGCGGUGAAAUGCGUAGAUAUUAGGAAGAACACCGAUGGCGAAGGCAGCAUGCUGAACUGCGACUGACGUUGAGGCUCGAAGGCGUGGGGAGCAAACAGGAUUAGAUACCCGGGUAGUC